AACUUUCGGCAACGGGUCACUUGGUUCUGGCAUCGAUGAAGAACGCAGCGAAAUGCGAUAAGUAAUGUGAAUUGCAGAAUUCAGUGAAUCAUCGAAUCUUUGAACGCACAUUGCGCCCCUUGGUAUUCCGAGGGGCAUGCCUGUUCGAGCGUCAUUUCAACCCUCAAGCACAGCUUGGUCUUGGGCUUCGCCGCUAACCCGGCGGGUCUUAAAAUCAGUGGCGGUGCCGUCGGGCCCUGAGCGCAGUAAUCUCUCUCGCUAUAGGGUCCCGGCGGAUGCUGGCCAGUAACCCCCAAUUUUCUAUGGUUGACCUCGGAUCAGGUAGGGAUACCCGCUGAACUUAAGCAUAUCAAUAAGCGGAGGCU
This 365-nucleotide unclassified non-coding RNA is filed under the name uncultured Dermateaceae. RNAcentral describes it as "sequence contains ITS2". The stretch from base 1 to 154 matches the Rfam family "5.8S ribosomal RNA". Lineage: Eukaryota; Fungi; Ascomycota; Leotiomycetes; Helotiales; Dermateaceae. The record is from RNAcentral.